CCUACGGGUGGCAGCAGUAGGGAAUCUUCCACAAUGGACGAAAGUCUGAUGGAGCAACGCCGCGUGAGUGAAGAAGGGUUUCGGCUCGUAAAGCUCUGUUGGUAGUGAAGAAAGAUAGAGGUAGUAACUGGCCUUUAUUUGACGGUAAUUACUUAGACAGUCCCGGCUAACUACGUGCCAGCAGCCGCGGUAAUACGUAGGUGGCAAGCGUUGUCCGGAUUUAUUGGGCGUAAAGCGAGUGCAGGCGGUUCAAUAAGUCUGAUGUGAAAGCCUUCGGCUCAACCGGAGAAUUGCAUCAGAAACUGUUGAACUGGAGUGCAGAAGAGGAGAGUGGAACUCCAUGUGUAGCGGUGGAAUGCGUAGAUAUAUGGAAGAACACCAGUGGCGAAGGCGGUCUGCUGGACAGCAACUGACGCUGAGGCGCGAAAGCGUGGGGAGCAAACAGGAUUAGAUACCCUAGUAGUC
Molecule: ribosomal RNA, 465 nt
Filed under: uncultured bacterium
Lineage: Bacteria
Description: partial 16S ribosomal RNA
Rfam family: Bacterial small subunit ribosomal RNA
Source: RNAcentral